CUCUUCCAAUGCCUGGGUCUCGCAUCAGAUAAAUAAACUGGAGAUUCUCUUCCUGAGCAUUAGUUGCUCCCUCUUCUAAUGAAUGUCAGUCUGAAAUGAGGGGAACUUUGCACUCAGCGCAAGAGGCAUUUUUGUUGAGGUGCUUUUUUCUUCCCCAAGUCAUCGUCCUACUCAGCCAACCUUUAAUCCGAUUGGAAGCCCUAAAAUUCUAACAUAAUUUAGAAGCAUUAAAAAAAGAAGAAUGACGGAAGGAGGCUGUUCAUUUGUCCCGGCUCGCCUAGUGCUGUGUUGAAAAUUCCAUUCACAUGGCUACUUGGCUCUUUUUCUGCUUAUGAAAAAUCUUAGGCAGUCCCCGAGGGCAUCUUCUAAGCUUCGUGGGUUUCCCCAUGCCAUUUUGGUCGAAGGUAUUUAUGUAAAAUAUAUUGCUUUGUUGAUCUGAUAACAGAUAACCCCGGGAAGUUCAUCCGUCUAACUUGGCUCACGGAAAUGUCAGAAUGACUCAGCCGGACGGUUAAUUUUAGUAGUCUGGGGUUAUAAACUCACUUCAAAAGACUUUGAAACAGGUUUGGCAUUCCUUUCCCAUAAGAAAGCCUGUAUAGAUUUGACCUUUGGAUUUAAGCCAGCUCUGGUCUUCUUUCCUGCAGCCGGGCAGAGAGGACAUUCCUAACCCAUUUUUGACUCACUGUCCCCCCCACCACCAGUGUCACCACAAAAUGCUGAAACAUCAAGUUAAGAGAAGGGUCAGAACGAGGAAUGUAGGGAAUAGUAGAAUCCUUUUGUUAGAAUGGACUGGCCUCAGAGGAGGGUAUAGCUCAGUGGUAGAAUAUGUGUGUAGCAUGCACAAGGCCAGGCUCAGUCCCCAGUACCUCCAGUAAGAAAUAAACCAGCAAACCUAACUCCUUCCCUCAAAAAAAAAGAAAAGAAAAGAAAAGAGAAACACAUUAAACACAUUAGAAUGGACUGGCUUCGUUAAGAUAUAGAAGAAGGCACCCGGGGAAACACACUCCCUGCACGUCUUGGAGAGAGAGGAUAAUCACUUUGCUGUUUGAAUUGAAUUAUGCAGUAAUGUGAAGGGUAAAUCCAGAGUCAGGACUUGCAGUGCUAAAGUUCAAAGCCACUUAAUGAGAAACAGAGCUCCUCACCAUCUCCAAAAGCAUUUCCUAAGCAACCGCUUGCCUGCGGUGCUGCAAAGAGAAAUGACAUAGACCCGGCCCAUGACCUUCAGAAAGCCAGAAAAAGAUUUAGAAAUAACACGCUUAGAGAAAAUAUUGCCAAGUCAGUACAGAAAUCCUCUGGUAAGUCUCCAUUUAGAAAAACCAUCAUCAAGGAAAACAAUCGAUAAGGUUAUAUCCAGAGCCCGUUCCAUUCAAGGGACUUAAUGCACACAAAGUUGUACUGAUACAAAGGACCUUUUCUGAUUCACCUGGGAGUUCUUUGCCGUAGGGUUGUAUAUUUGUCAAAAUGGGCCAUGGGAGUGAAUCGAAGAAAUAUCUAGCACAGCUGGGCACCAGGGCAAGUAUUUUCAUUGUGUGUGUGUGUUUGAACUAGAUUAUUCUAUGAAUUUCCCUUAGAAUAUGAAGUGAGAAGCACCAUCUAGUCUGUUCAAUUUUGGGGCCUCACUAACGUCAUGUUUCUUGAGAAGGUAUCAUGUGUCAGACACUAAACGUAGUAUGAUACAUCACAUCCCCUCAGUUAAUUCUUACAAUCCCAUAGGAUGGAUUUCAUCACCCUCAUUUUCUGAGAGAGGAAACAAGUGUGAAGUGGUUAAGUAACUCGCCUGAGAUCACAGAGCUGCUAAGUGCUCUGACAGAGGGAAGAUCUGAGCCCUUGUCUGUGGACCUACAGAUCUAGGGCUCCUAGCCUGCACACGUACUGCCCCAAACGACAUGAUAAGCACUUUAUUACACUUGGAAAAAGAGAUAAUUUAGGGCUAUCGUGAGACAGUUUUAUUCAUUCUAUUUUGUAUGUGGCUCUUAUUGGUGAAGAAGUUGAUAGUAUUUGAUCAUAUAUUUCUCUACAGUUAUAGGCCUAUAGUUAUUUAGCAGAUGUAUUCAUUAGAGUCUGAAUUAGUGAGUUCUGCUGUUUGUCCAGAAUGCCUUAGUUUACUGAAUCACAAUUAGUCAGGGCCAAAAAGUGAAUUUGUUCUGAUAUGUCUUCCUUUCCUGAACUAGUAAUUGACGAAAUGAUGACUAUUUCUGCAUUCACCUUGUAAAUAAAAUCAACAGACUAAGAGUGUGAGGCAUUCUGUGCACAGAUAAUCUUCUCUCCCUGGGGCUGUAAAUUAUUGGUAUGGAUAGACCAGGCUGGAAUGACAGGCUGAUUUGUUAAUUCUGGAAAAGCAUCAGGUGCCACUCUUACAGCUUCUAGAUUUCUAUUUCAUUUUAGUUUAGCAAAUGUAGUUAGCCUUAGAGACUGCCUUUAUCAUUCACUGGUUGUUUUAUUCCUUCAUACAUUUAACCCAACAACAUGGGUCAUUUUUCAACAGGUCAAACUAAAUUCCCUGGGAAUUUAGCCUGACGAAUCACGGGGAGAACUGGUCUUGACGAGACGUGACCGUUUAUCCUCAUCAUUUUAAUGGGUUUCUUUUACCAGUCUCACUUCAGGCAAAAGCAGAUAUUAUCAUUAACCUGCCUGCACUAUGGAAAUGGAAAAAUUCAGUGCCACCUAAUGUCAUGAACCCAGGAAGUCAGAAAUAGGUCUUGGGAAUAACUCUAAGUCUUAAUAAACAGGGCUGCAUGAUCCAUUCAAAAAUACCAUUUAAAAUCCAGUUUUCUUAAGAUAUGAAAUCUACUUAAAAAAAGACUCAUGCUCCACACCCUUUUUUAUUUAGAAGCAUUAGUUUAUGUUUCUGAUGUUUUAGGUCCUGCUCUUUAAAUAACUUGGCUUUCUUUUUUCCCUUUUUGUUGGCUCAGUACUUUCCCAGGGUAAGUGAUAAAUAAAGCUGGAGUGUUGGUUGCAAAUUCCCUUCCUCUCUCUUCCUUCUCUCCUACCUCAGAUUUAUCUGGGGACUAGAGCAUCCCACAGUGGGCUAGGACACCACUCAGCAUCACAUAGAAUGGCAAGGGAUUGGGAAACACUUACAGCUUGAAGGUCUUCUGAACUUAAAGCUCUCACUUUUACCCUAAGCAGGGGCCUUGAAUUAGGGACAAGAACUUGAAUUUGCAAUGCCACCUUCUUUCUCAAGAACCCAUCAUGACAAGUGAUUACAGUUCUUGAUAUAUCAUAUGUCAUUAAAGAUAAAUCAUGGGACUGAUUGGAGAGAAAACCCUUGCGUAACUUCUCAGAGACUUUUCUCCUCUCUCUCCCUCCUCCUCUCCCCACACCUGUCGGAUAAGGAUUCUAUUGAGCAUCUUUCUGAAGGCUUUUAGGUUUACCUGACCAUCCCCUAGUAGCCAUUUAUCAAGUAGCAGGAGGAAACCCAGCCUCUGGCCAGUGAGAUUAAAACAUUUAAACACUUUUGAAUUCAUUGAAUUUCUUAACUUGGCCUUUAGAAAGGGAGCAUCCUAGUUGUGCGGACAGAAAUGUAAAUUAACUGCUCUGUGCUGUAAAGACGAAGCUAGAACACACGGGUUCCAGCUGGGGAGACGGAGGUCUGGGAAUGCUCUUGGGAGGUGAGGUUUUUGGUUGGGCCUAGAGGUUGUGUUAGUUGUCAGCAGACCAGAGCAUGUGAGAGUAUUCCAUUCUUCAAGGAAACUACAGUAGAAGAGGUUCAGCUGGGUUAAAAGUCAUGUUUGUUUUCUGUGAAUUUUUAAAAGUCCAAGGUGAUUUUGUGUGUGUGUGUGUGUGUGUGUGUGUGUGUGUAGAUAGGUGUAGUGCGAAGAGAUGAAAUGAGAGAAGUAGAGUGGGUCCAAGUCAUAAAGGACCAGGGGAGAUACAGUGAUGUGUCUGGAUUUGACUCUACCAGCUGAGUAGAGCCAUUGGAAGUCCUGGGAUAGACAAGUGACACAAUCUACUCUAAGCUUUAGGAAGGUACCUGGUGAUGGUGUAGAGGCCCAGAUUGAAGGGAAGAGGCUAGAGGCAAGCAGAUCAGAUAGGAAUCCUCUCAAUAUCCUCGGUGAGAGAUUUUUUAGUGACCUACAAUAGGAGGAAAUUGGGAUUCACUGUGAAGCUGGGACCAAAUUUAGAAACUUGAUUGAAUGCGAACUAUGAAGAUGAAAGAGACAUCAAAGAUGAUGGUGCUUCUGAACUGUGGUGCUUUCAAAUGACCUGGAGAACAUAAGAGUUUAGUUUGGGACUUGCUGGCCUUCAAAUGCUGUCAGCUGCAGGUGGAAACGUGUCAGACCAAAAGAACUGAAGGCUGGAAAUAGAGUUUAGGGAGUUAACACACGAAGCAAGGGCUAGAGACAACAGAUCAAGUGAAAUUAAUGAUGGAAAGAACAUAAAGGAAGAAAAGGGCUGGAAGAGAACUUUGAGAAAUGCCAUAGUUAGAGGGGUUGUUAGAAGAGAGAAAGAAGAGGACAGGUGAGAGGCAGAGCAGGUAAACCUCUGAGAAUCACAUCAGAUGUAACAAGGGAAGAGAAAGUUUCAAGGACAAGGGUGAAUAACUAUUGCUAGUAAUGGAACUACCCCUGGGGAGUCUGCUUUCUCUGUGGAUCAGGCUCAUGAGUUAAAUUUACUCACACUGUAACUCUGAGUCACAAGGAAUUCCUUGGAUUGCUAAUUCCCUUCCUUAUCACACAAUUUACCAGCUGGAUAUUCUCCCAUCUCGUCCAAACCUACAACCAUCCUAAGACUCAAUUAUAAGUCUAAUUCAUCUUUUAAUAACCUUUAAUGAAAAAGAAUAUGAAAACAAAUAUAUGUAUAUAUAUGCAUGAUUGGGACAUCAUGCUGUACACCAGUAAUCGACACAUUGUAACCAACUAUGUACUUCAGUUAAAAGAAAAAAAGUCUAACUCUUCAGCCACUGCUGCUGAAGAUGAUUCCUGUUCUUUCUUCUCUGAAUCCCUGUAGUUGAUAUUGUUAGCUCUCUUUUCACAUGGGGAUGUUUUAUUUCCCCAAAUGCACUGCAUGAUUUUCAGGACAAAGAAUGUAUUUUAAACUCAUUCCUUUCUGCCUGAGAAUCUAGCAAAAUGCUUUGCAUAAAGAAGGUACUCGAAGCUUUUUUUCUUAGGAAAAGCUAUGAUGUGAAAUUUGGUAAUAUGCAUUAGGUAUCAUAAAAUGGUUAGUUACCUCCUUUGACACAUGAAUACCUCCUCCAGGAUUAUGUUCUAUAAUAAUAAUCUGAAAUGGGAAAAUGUCAUAGGUACAAACGUACUUGUCAAAAGAGUUCAAAGGUUCAGUAUUGUAAUAAUAGAACGUUUAUGUGAAUUGUGUAAGUAUUUCAUUCAAUGGAAUCAUACAGUUUUUUAAAAUUAUGAUGACUAUUUACCAACUUGGAAAUGUGGUUUUUUUAAAGCAUGGCACAAAAUUAAUUUGUGCACUAUGGUUUCAAGUAUAUAAAAUGUACUUUUGGAAAAUAUGAGAAGAGAAUAGAUUAAAAUGAUAAAUUUUAACACAGAGAGGUAGAAUUGAAAGUGGUUUCUUUCCUUUAUAAAAGCUGCCCUAAUAUUAAAUUGUUGUUAUAAGUCAUCUCACAUAAAACAAUGUUUUGUUUCCUAUGAAGGACCUGAUACUGUGCAGUGAGCAUGGAAGGUGUCCUCUUUAAAUAUAUGUCAUUACCAGGCUGUUGGAAUCCAUCAAUAUAGUUCAUGGUAUAGUGACCGUCACCAUUGAACAAUACCGCCAGUUUGUUUCAGCUCAUAAUUUUGGGCAAGGAGGCCAUCUUGUCCUUUAACUGUUGGCAGUUCUAAGGUUAAAAGAGAAAGAAAAAAAUGAGAGGAGAGUUAAGAGUGUGAAAAUCCAAGAAGAGGGGAGGCUGUGAAAGAAAUAAGAGGAGACAAGAAAAGACCAAGGGCAGAGAAGACAAAUUUUUUCACUGUGGGUCUGCCUCUCUCUGAUGUUCUUUUUCUUCACUUUUUUCUCUCUUCCCUGCUGCUUGGUGGAGCCUUUCAAAUAGAAGCUCUGUAUUUUCAAAAGCUGUGACUAUUUUUGAUCUUUCCUCUAAUCCAUAUUCUGAGGUGGUCUUGGCAAGAAAGAGACCCACUGGUCUUGGAUCACAGAGGGUACUAGACCAGAAGUGGGUGGUGCAGCAUCACAGGCAAAGACAAGGACAAAAUAACGGAGUAAACAGAAAACCAGCAGUGGAAGGGGGAGUUGAGUGUAGACUCAUUGGGAAACUAUAGGAUGCCUCUGGGGGCACCAUUUAGCUCUGAGCUUGAAAAAGACUGGUGUGGAUGAGCUGAGUCUCUCUGCUACCUAGGCCUGCCUAAAAAUUCCAGAACAAAUGAACAAAUGAUUUUUUAAAUUAAAGUACAGUUUACAAUGUUGUGUCAAUUUCUGGUGUACAGCAUAAUGCUUCAGUCAUACGUAUACAUACAUAUAUUCCUUUUCAGAUUCUUUUUCCUUAUAUGUUACUACAGGAUAUUGAAUAUUGUUCCCAGUGCUGUACAGAAGACACUUAUUCAUCUACUUUAUAUAUAGUAGUUAGUAUCUGUAAAUCUCAAACUCCCAGUUUAACCCUUCCCCCACCCUCACCCUUUUCCCCACUAGUAACCGUAAGUUUGUUUUCUAUCUGUGAGUCUGAACAAAUGAUUCUUGAUUCCAAUACCACCCAAACUGGACAGCUCCUUCCAGAAGGUGCAUUUUAUCUGCAUAUGAAUCGGCUCUGGAUGGUUCAGAGUGGCAGACUUUCUCCGUUGGGCUAUUGAAGAAGGCAGCCCACAUUUCUAGAGGUGCAGCAGGCCCAGCAGGGUGCCCCAGCAUGGACACUAAUGUGCAUUUUACCUAUUCACUCGUUCUAGGUAAUCUAUAAAGGGCAGUGAAACUUAAAGAGAUAUCAACAUGAAGAGAUGCUUAUUUUUUCUGACAUCAAAUUAAAAAACCUCUUUAUUCAGGUUUCAAGGCUGAAUCUGAAAGGCAUGGAACCAAGAUUCUUUUUUUAAAUGGCAUUCUUAUAGUAUAAUAUAUAUUAGAGAUUAUAACAUAUAAUAAUGAAACAUUAAAUAGGUACAACCAUCUUAGAGGUUUGAGUUGCUCCUAAGUUGAUUAAUGGGUUUCUAGAGGAAAACACCUUUUGCAGGCAUACCAUUUGCCCAAUUGUGGAUCUGCCCGACUAGUCUGAAAGGGCACAGCAGCGAGUAGGACUCCCCCUGGCUCCAGGCUCUUGACAGUCCUCUCCAAAAAAAAUGUUUUCUCCCCUCCAGGGAGAUCAAAGUUUUUCAUUGCACUUAGCAGAGAGGGCAGAGUUGUGCUUUCCUCAAAUCUCUUGACGUCAACCCAGAG
Molecule: non-coding RNA, 7320 nt
Organism: Vicugna pacos (alpaca)
Lineage: Eukaryota; Metazoa; Chordata; Mammalia; Artiodactyla; Camelidae
Source: RefSeq, a predicted model, not a curated record